AGAGUUUGAUCAUGGCUCAGGAUGAACGCUAGCGGCAGGCUUAACACAUGCAAGUCGAGGGGUAGAGGAAGCUUGCUUCCUUGAGACCGGCGCACGGGUGCGUAACGCGUAUGCAAUCUACCUUAUACAGGGGGAUAGCCCAGAGAAAUUUGGAUUAAUACCCCAUAGUAUAAUUGAAUGGCAUCAUUAAUUAUUAAAGUUCCAACGGUAUAAGAUGAGCAUGCGUCCCAUUAGCUAGUUGGAGUGGUAACGGCACACCAAGGCGACGAUGGGUAGGGGUCCUGAGAGGGAGAUCCCCCACACUGGUACUGAGACACGGACCAGACUCCUACGGGAGGCAGCAGUGAGGAAUAUUGGUCAAUGGGCGCAAGCCUGAACCAGCCAUGCCGCGUGCAGGAUGACGGUCCUAUGGAUUGUAAACUGCUUUUGUACAGGAAGAAACACUCCCUCGUGAGGGAGCUUGACGGUACUGUAAGAAUAAGGAUCGGCUAACUCCGUG
This 499-nucleotide ribosomal RNA is filed under the name uncultured bacterium. RNAcentral describes it as "bacterial SSU rRNA". It matches the Rfam family "Bacterial small subunit ribosomal RNA", at positions 8 to 507 of the family's 1533-position model. The record is from RNAcentral.